Molecule: transfer RNA, 89 nt
Filed under: Candidatus Blackburnbacteria bacterium
Lineage: Bacteria; Candidatus Blackburniibacteriota
Description: tRNA-Ser
Rfam family: tRNA
About the family: Transfer RNA (tRNA) molecules are approximately 80 nucleotides in length. Their secondary structure includes four short double-helical elements and three loops (D, anti-codon, and T loops).
Source: RNAcentral
GGAGGGUUGGCUGAGCGGUUCAAAGCGAUGGUUUCGAAAACCAUUGGGUCGAAAGAUCCGCACAGGUUCGAAUCCUGUACCCUCCGCCA